UACGUAGGGUGCGAGCGUUGUCCGGAAUUAUUGGGCGUAAAGAGCUUGUAGGCGGUUUGUCGCGUCUGCCGUGAAAAUCCGAGGCUCAACCUCGGACUUGCGGUGGGUACGGGCAGACUAGAGUGUGGUAGGGGAGACUGGAAUUCCUGGUGUAGCGGUGAAAUGCGCAGAUAUCAGGAGGAACACCGAUGGCGAAGGCAGGUCUCUGGGCCACUACUGACGCUGAGAAGCGAAAGCAUGGGGAGCGAAC
RNAcentral lists this ribosomal RNA (250 nucleotides) under uncultured bacterium. Its description in RNAcentral is "partial 16S ribosomal RNA". It matches the Rfam family "Bacterial small subunit ribosomal RNA", at positions 524 to 773 of the family's 1533-position model. The record is from RNAcentral.